This is a transfer RNA of Selaginella moellendorffii, 66 nucleotides long. It matches the Rfam family "tRNA". Rfam says of the family: Transfer RNA (tRNA) molecules are approximately 80 nucleotides in length. Lineage: Eukaryota; Viridiplantae; Streptophyta; Lycopodiopsida; Selaginellales; Selaginellaceae. The record is from Rfam.
GGCCUAUUAGCUCAGUGGGUCAUAGCGUGGUGCUAAAAACCGCAAGUUGGAAACCUGCAUGGGCCA